Molecule: long non-coding RNA, 564 nt
Organism: Coccinella septempunctata (seven-spotted ladybird)
Lineage: Eukaryota; Metazoa; Arthropoda; Insecta; Coleoptera; Coccinellidae
Exons: 2
Source: RefSeq, a predicted model, not a curated record
UAUUGGAAAAAUUAUAAAUCAAUAAAUUAUCAAUUCGAUGAAUGUACCAUCUAUUGUUAGAUUUUGUUAUUUUAUGAACGUUAUGUACCUUUGUUAGUAGAUAUCUGUUUAAAAUAAUUUUCGGUGGUGGUGUCUUGAAGUGGGUGUCGCGCACAUUCGACGCGUUGGACAAUAUGUUUGUCGCGAGGGAAAUCAUUCCGACUCUGAGAUUGAUCGUAUGCAAAACUAAGCCGAUUUCUUCUCGAUAGAGGAUUUGAUAAAUUCGACGUAAACGUGUAUCAACGGAAUUUCAUACUUUUUUAUCGAGAAUCCCUUUCUAGAAGGGAUUCAUUCAGUCAUUAUAAAUUAGUCGAUUGCAUUUGGAAUUUUCUCGUUCCCGUGAAGGGAAUUAUCGUUCGACAUUGACUUCUCGUCGUCCACAUUGAUUGCCGAUACCAUAUCUUCCAAGACAACCACUCUGGCCAUCAUCACCGAACUACUCUAAGAACUAACCCCUUUGAAAAGUGAGUACGUAUCUGCUGAAGUUGAGGAAGUGUCCUGAAUAAAGUGUUUUUGUACCCUGAA